Amphiprion ocellaris (clown anemonefish) is the source of this 561-nucleotide long non-coding RNA. RefSeq lists it as uncharacterized. Lineage: Eukaryota; Metazoa; Chordata; Actinopteri; Pomacentridae. The record is from RefSeq and is a predicted model, not a curated record. The transcript is spliced from 3 exons.
CAGAACUCCAGGUCAAUUAUCAUGAUGACAGACAGGUGGGGUCUGGAGCUGCUCUUCAGCCAGGCAUCAUCAACAUCUACACAAACCUUCUCCCCACACUAAAAGAUAGCACAUCACCACCGCAAGUCAAAUGCUGUAUUCAAAUGGCUCAGUGGACUGUGGAGGCCAUUGCAUAUGAUUCACAUCGUUUUCAUCAGACCAUUCAGUGACCUCUCGUGCUCAGUGGAUGGGGUCAUUGUCAUCCUGAAAGAGAUCCCUCAGGUUACGCCCGGUGGGAGUGGCUAGAUGCACCUGUGGCUCCUUACAAUCAGCAAGGAUGGUUAAAUGAUGAGCCAACUUGAGCAUUGUGGCCAGUGGGCCGAAUCAGCUGCCAGAGUGUGGUGUUGUUGUCUUGCGUUCUGCUUAAGGACUAGUCUCUGCUGGCUAAAGAGCUGGGUAGAGUGACCAGCUUUGCACUUAUGAGGUGUGCUUUUGUGUCGGAAUCGUCUUUUUAGAUAAAUAAAUGUUCUUUUGUUGAUGUUACCCAAUCAGUUUUCGUGCCUCUGUAUCUGUUUCUUCUUU